Molecule: non-coding RNA, 240 nt
Organism: Pelobates cultripes (western spadefoot toad)
Lineage: Eukaryota; Metazoa; Chordata; Amphibia; Anura; Pelobatidae
Source: the annotation of a GenBank genome assembly
AGCAGUUUUGCUUUUAUUAUGUCUUUGGAAACUUGAAAUUAAAAUAGAAUAGGAUCUUAAAAUGGUCUUUGAAGACGAACUGAACUGUCAGCGAAUUCCGGCAAAAUUAAUUAUUUCAGCUUGAUAAACCUUUUCAUCUACUUGACUCCUUUUGCAGAAAAGCCAAUUAAUAAUGUCAAACAUGCUUUGGCUGCGGCGAGCGGCGAGCCUAAUAAGACUGUUUACUGUGGUGUGGCUCAU